Transfer RNA from Phlebiopsis gigantea 11061_1 CR5-6, 80 nucleotides. It matches the Rfam family "tRNA". Rfam says of the family: Transfer RNA (tRNA) molecules are approximately 80 nucleotides in length. The record is from Rfam. NCBI's taxonomy places the organism in Eukaryota, Fungi, Basidiomycota, Agaricomycetes, Polyporales, Phanerochaetaceae.
GGUGAGAUGGCCGAGCGGUCUAAGGCGCCAGACUAAGGAUCUGGUCCGAAAGGGCGUGGGUUCGAAUCCCACUCUCAUCA